CCUACGGGAGGCAGCAGUGGGGAAUAUUGCACAAUGGGGGAAACCCUGAUGCAGCGACGCCGCGUGAGUGAAGAAGUAUCUCGGUACGUAAAGCUCUAUCAGCAGGGAAGAAAAUGAAGGUACCUGUCUAAGAAGCCACGGCUAACUACGUGCCAGCAGCCGCCGUAAUACGUAGGGGGAACGCGUUAUCUGGAGUUACUGGGUGAAAAGGGAGCGGAGACGGCAGCACAAGUCUGGAGUGAAAUCCCGGGGCUGAACCCCGGAACUGCUUUGGAAACUGGGCGGCUGGAGUGCAGGAGGGGUGAGCGGAAUUCCUGGUGUAGCGGUGAAAUGCGUAGAUAUUAGGAGGAACACCGGUGGCGAAGGCGGCUUACUGGAC
This 379-nucleotide ribosomal RNA is filed under the name uncultured bacterium. Its description in RNAcentral is "partial 16S ribosomal RNA". It matches the Rfam family "Bacterial small subunit ribosomal RNA", at positions 338 to 734 of the family's 1533-position model. The record is from RNAcentral.